Molecule: unclassified non-coding RNA, 334 nt
Filed under: soil metagenome
Description: partial contains 5.8S ribosomal RNA, internal transcribed spacer 2, and large subunit ribosomal RNA
Rfam family: 5.8S ribosomal RNA (bases 1-120)
Source: RNAcentral
GAUGAAGAACGCAGCGAAAUGCGAUAAGUAAUGUGAAUUGCAGAAUUCAGUGAAUCAUCGAAUCUUUGAACGCACAUUGCGCCCGCCAGUAUUCUGGCGGGCAUGCCUGUUCGAGCGUCAUUUCAACCAUCAAGCCCCGGGCUUGUGUUGGGGACCUACGGCUGCCGCAGGCCCUGAAAUGCAGUGGCGGGCUCGCUGUCACUCCGAGCGUAGUAGUUACAUCUCGCUCUGGGCGUGCUGCGGGUUCCGGCCGUUAAAAGCCUUAUUUACCCAAGGUUGACCUCGGAUCAGGUAGGAAGACCCGCUGAACUUAAGCAUAUCAAUAAGCGGAGGA